AUGGCAGCCACCCUAAGAAAUUCCUGUUCUCACCUUCCUCAAGCCAUGGCUUUCUGCUCCUGGAUGUCAGCCCUGUUCUUUGAGCUGGGCACACCUGAACCUGCUGUACUUCAGAAGUUGUAUUUUCCCUGGAGGAGCAGUAGAAGCCCAGCCACCAUGCAUUCCCUGUGCUACAUCAUGCCAGAAGGAUACCAAAACUCAGUGACUGGAGCCAAACGAUUGUUCCAUGUGUCUGUGCAUCAGUGAUUUGGGGGGUUUGCAGCACUGGCUGAAACGCGCAGGCCAGCUGCCUGCCGGUGGCAGCAGGAAAACAGGCAGACAAAGCAGAUGGACCCAGCAGGGGUGGAGGAGCGCUGUCUUCAGCGGGCCAUAGGCAUCACUGAAGAGUAAACAGCUCUCCGAAGGGAGCCGGGAGCUAACCCCAAACCCAUCCUCUCCAAAGCACUCAAUCACAGCACAUUAACAAGAGCGCCUGGACUGCUGGGGGAGAGUAAACAAUGAGAGGCCAUGCUGGCGGGAGAGUGGGAAAAGCGCAGCCCCCCUCCAGCUCAUAUUUAUUGUAAGAGGGUGU
This 571-nucleotide long non-coding RNA is filed under the name Chrysolophus pictus (golden pheasant). RNAcentral's name for it is "lncRNA (ENSCPIG00010012315.1)". The record is from RNAcentral. Lineage: Eukaryota; Metazoa; Chordata; Aves; Galliformes; Phasianidae.